Molecule: transfer RNA, 65 nt
Filed under: Cuspidothrix issatschenkoi CHARLIE-1
Lineage: Bacteria; Bacillati; Cyanobacteriota; Cyanophyceae; Nostocales; Aphanizomenonaceae
Description: tRNA-OTHER
Rfam family: tRNA
About the family: Transfer RNA (tRNA) molecules are approximately 80 nucleotides in length. Their secondary structure includes four short double-helical elements and three loops (D, anti-codon, and T loops).
Source: RNAcentral
GCGGAUGUGGCGGAAUUGGUAUACGCGCACGCUUGAGGGGGCGAGUUCGAGUCUCGCCAUCCGCA